AUUUAUGUAUUUUUGUUUUUUUGGAUCGUCAUGAAAAUUUCCUUAUUCUCAUGUAAUUUUUUUUUUUCCGUUGACAUACCAUGUAAAUGAAGUUCUCAUAUGAUGUUGUCUCCUUGGAUUCGGCUAGCCUUCUUCUCCUUCUUGAUUAGCUCCUUUUUAAAAUAUGUUACUGCCGCUUUUUCAUCACUAAAUAAAUGUCAUCUUUAAUUGAGUUUUCAUUCUCCAAAUUUUGAGAAUUUCAUCUUCGAACUCUAUAUUCUCUCCUUCGCUGCUAUAGUUUUGCCCCAAACUAGUCUUAUUCUUUUUCUUAGUAAAAAACUAUCUUACUUCUCAUUUUGUAAAAUUUUUUUAUGAUUCUCUUUUUGUUUCUAGAACUAUUCGCAUUUGCUUUCUUAUCCUUUAAACAUAUACCAAAUUUUAUAUAUACUCUCAAUAGUCUUUUAGGUCUCAUCGAUUCAUACUCUCUUUUUUUUUCAAAAGCAACAGCAGCCGCACAACCAGCACCACUACCAUUCCAGCCGAUUUACCAACUUGUUCUGUAGCUCUUUUGGAUAAUAGAACGCACAGGGCAUCGCAAUAAACGAUGCUAUGAGUAUCUGAAGAAGCUGGUUUGCACCAAACCCCAAUGCUUGCACACAGAAGAUCUCCGACGUCAUUAAGUCGAUGUAUGACCACCCGUGGCCAACUUACACACAGAUCCCAACUUAGACCAGAGAUCAAUGAUUUUAGAAGUGGACAGUAAGAACCCAAUAAUGUUGAAUUAAUUAACUGUAUUUGAACUGUAUUUUAUUCCGACUAACUAAUGUUAGUGAAUCACUUUGUGCGGUUGAAACUCAUAUGGGAUGCGGAGCAUAAUCUCAUGAUCAGGAAGAUCUAAGACCACCAGACAGCUAAACAUUUUCAGCAUAUGUUGAGCAAUGUUCGUAAGGAGUGCGACCACCUAACGUCCUGGAUCUGUCCAGCCAUCAAGAAGGAACUGGAGGCCUAUUUUACUCAUAAUGAGGGGUUCAAGCAUCGCUGUCUAACGAACGUCGCUAACAGGGCUUCGCUCAGGGUUGUCGAAGUAUACAUGUGGGUCAGCGACCUUCAUGAAGAUGAAGAGCAGAGUGUUGUUGGACCGUGAGGCAACACUGGUGAAGACCGUUAAGUAUACCCAUACUUUGAAGACCAACAAGGAGAGAUUUGCAGACGAGCAGUCAGUAGCCCAUUAUGAGGAUUAUACGCAGAGGUUGGAGGCUGUCACCUAGCAAUCUCAACCACCUAGUGGGAACGAUGAAACCAACUCCGAGACCUCAGUGGUAGAUCCUGAUAGGAUUUGGCACGAGAUUGCCUCUGAACCCCACAAGAAUCGCUGCUUCAGGUUGGCAUCGUACAUCGCCAGUGGUCUUCUCUCCUCCGCAUUAGCGGUUUCCUCUGCCUCUACCUCUGCCACCAGCCCUGCCGAUUGAUGAGCGGAUAAUUUAUACGCUUUUUGGCACUGUUUUUAGAUAUUUUCUGGCUGAAAUUGAGGGACCUGAGCAAAAAUCUAAUUCAGAGGCUG
Arachis ipaensis is the source of this 1540-nucleotide long non-coding RNA. RefSeq lists it as uncharacterized. The record is from RefSeq and is a predicted model, not a curated record. Lineage: Eukaryota; Viridiplantae; Streptophyta; Magnoliopsida; Fabales; Fabaceae.